UUUAAAGCAACUAAGGGCGCAUGGUGGAUGCCUUGGGUCUGAGAGGCGAGGAAGGACGUGGUAAGCUGCGAUAAGCCAGGGGGAGCUGCACACAAGCAUUAUAUCCCUGGAUUUCCGAAUGGGUCAACCCACUAUACUGAAGGUAUAGUACUCGAAAGAGAGCCAACCCCGAGAACUGAAACAUCUAAGUACCGGGAGGAAAAGAAAACAAUAGUGAUUCCCUGAGUAGUGGCGAGCGAAAUGGGAAUAGCCUAAACUUAAGCGGCGUGCCGCUUGAGGGUUGUAGGACUGCAUUUAGAAAUCAUCAUCAAGUAAAAUCAUCUGGAAAGUUGAGCCAUAGAGGGUGAUAGCCCCGUAAACGAAAAUUGAUGAGGACGAGCAGUAUCCUGAGUAAGGCGGGACCGGAGGAAUCCUGCCUGAAUCUGCCAGCACCAUCUGGUAAGGCUAAAUACUCCUCAGAC
This 461-nucleotide ribosomal RNA is filed under the name Chitinophagaceae bacterium. RNAcentral describes it as "partial 23S ribosomal RNA". It matches the Rfam family "Bacterial large subunit ribosomal RNA", at positions 1 to 482 of the family's 2925-position model. Lineage: Bacteria; Pseudomonadati; Bacteroidota; Chitinophagia; Chitinophagales; Chitinophagaceae. The record is from RNAcentral.